This 246-nucleotide ribosomal RNA is filed under the name uncultured Dysgonomonas sp. RNAcentral's name for it is "partial 16S ribosomal RNA". It matches the Rfam family "Bacterial small subunit ribosomal RNA", at positions 94 to 339 of the family's 1533-position model. The record is from RNAcentral. Lineage: Bacteria; Pseudomonadati; Bacteroidota; Bacteroidia; Bacteroidales; Dysgonomonadaceae.
ACCGGCGCACGGGUGAGUAACGCGUAUGCAACCUACCUACUACUUUGGGAUAGCUCGUUGAAAGACGAAUUAAUACCUUAUAAAACAGGGGCUCCGCAUGGAGAUAUUUGUUAAAGAUUUAUUGGUAGUAGAUGGGCAUGCGUUCCAUUAGUUAGUUGGUGAGGUAACGGCUCACCAAGACAACGAUGGAUAGGGGAACUGAGAGGUUUGUCCCCCACACUGGAACUGAGACACGGUCCAGACUCC